RNAcentral lists this long non-coding RNA (40047 nucleotides) under Setaria viridis. RNAcentral describes it as "long non-coding RNA (SVIR_LNC007486)". Lineage: Eukaryota; Viridiplantae; Streptophyta; Magnoliopsida; Poales; Poaceae. The record is from RNAcentral.
CCAGGAGGACGAGUAGGCUGGGUUACUCGUCAGUACGACUGCUGGCUCUAGUCUUUCCCUGCUGUAGGAAACUCUGCUUUGUGUCGGUGUUACUACCGAGGUUACCUGUUAUGCCAACCUUUUUGCUAUCAAGUAGCGGCUCUAAUGUGGCAAAUUCUACCGUUACCUUCCUAUCUGAAUUAUCUGCAUGUUUUUUGGACCUGUCUUUUGCAUGCAGUUGCUGAUAUACCUGUCAUCUAGAUUGUAGAAUCUAGUUAUGGCAGUUUACAUGUGGAAUAUGUGUUCUCAGAGCAUCUCCAAGAGUGACCAACCACUUUUGGGAUCAAAAGUGAAAAAUAGUGCUCCAACAGUUGUCCAACCUCAUACCCAAAAUUUCCGCGUGCCCAAAACCAGAUCUAUCCUGAGCACCAAGGCACCAAUCGCCACCGUUUCUUCCGGUCUCUCUCAACUUCUCUCCCGCCGGCAUCCCCCUCGUGCCAAUUUCCCUUUGCAAGGGCCGCGCGUGCCUCACUGCUCCACGAGUGAAUCUCGUCAAACAAUGUGCCACUUUUGGUUGUUCUUCAACGUGAGGUCAUCCAAGUAGAUAGCUGGAAAUAAUUUUAGCAAAUAAGCAAUGGCUAGCUUCUUUUUUCUGGAUUGGAUCAUAUCGAUCCAACUGGUACUUGAAUUUCGCUUUGAUCUCGCGUGCCUGUUCCACUGCUGCCACGGUGCCACCUGCCCGUGCACUCGUGUCUGCCACGCCUAGUUGCGCCGCCCACACAGCAUCACUACCCUGAACUAUGAGUAACCCUUUGAUUCUUAAACCAGCUUACUAUUCACCAUAUUGUAUCCCGGUUUUGCUGACUAGGAUGCCGGUUUGCUGUUUAAUGGCGACACGUGGACCAUCCAACGUGGCAAUAAAAAAAUGAAGUGCACAUAACCCCCUCCGAUUCAGCCCGACUCAGGUGUGCUUGGUCUUCUAUCCUCGAGAUAUUGGCCACCUCCGACCCUCCGUCAUCGCCGAGCACCUCGCCGCCGCCCACUGCGCCGCCAUGGCGGCUCGGAUGUCAUCGUCCAACACUACCAAGUGCAGCGCGUCGUCUCCGCUCAUACGUUGGAGCCAUGCACCACGCCUGGAUGUUGUGCCGUGCUCGCCUGCCUGGGCCUUCGCUUCCGCUAUCGUGGUGUGGUGCCGACGGGUAGCCGCCGGCGAGAGGCCCGGCCGUGGCUGCAGCUCAACCAGGGGCCACAACAUCAUGGGGACAAGCAGGAGGGACCAGCUGAUCCAGGAGGAAGAGCAGCCGCAUCUCGCACCAUCCAGGAGGAAGAGCAGCCACAUCGCUGAAUCUUUUGGAUGGAGAACGGCAGCGGCAGCAAGUUCAGAAGCAAAUUGACAGAACCCAAUGCAUAUCACUUGAGAACUCGCUACAUAAAAAAAAACAAUUAAGUUCACCACAUGCCAUUGGUAAAGCUUGCAUCCUCCAUCCUAACCAAAAUCCAUAGAGCGCACAACAACAGAUCAAAAUCGAACCACAAAUAGAGCCAAAUAAUAGCCGAAUUGACCAAAUUCAGUGCUUACCAAGGCCCUUGGGCAUGUGUAGUACCUCGACCACGCCGCACGGCCAUGGGAUCCCGCGCGAUGAGCAGGGCCGGCGGACGGGACGGAGCAGGGGCGCCAGCGGACUGGAUCGAAUAGGGGAGCGCUGGCAGGCGGGGCCGAGCAGGGCGGGCGCCAUCAGACAUGAACCAGCAGGGGAGCGCCGGCGGACUGGAUCGAGCAGGGUGAGCGCCGGUGGCCGGGGCCUAGCAACGGGCGCCAUGGAACAGGAACGAGCAGGGGAGCGCCGGCGGGGCCGAGCAGGGGCGAUGCGUUGGUUCGAGCCCUUGCCUGAUGGCGGCAGGAGCUCAAGUGGGCUCGAUUCGUUUUGCCACGUUGGACUGCCCAUGUGGAGUCAUUAGUCAGCAAAACAGCCAUCCAGUCAGCGAAACCGGUUUUGAUUACUGACUAAAGGUGAAUAGUGAUCUGGUUUAGCACCCCGACCUUCCUGCAGUUGCAAUCAAUGCAUAUAAAUGAGAGGAAGGUUACCCCUUCCCUUCUGCCCGGUCAGGACUGAACUGGAGCUCCCAUCCAUGAUGGUGCCUGAGCUCAAAGUAGAAAUGGAAAAUUGAAAGCUCAUUGCACAAGACCGGCGAUUAAUCGGGCUGCGAUGGCGCCAUCGGGAUCUGGUGCGUGGGGGCUACGGUUCCAACUAUGAUGUUGGCAAUCGCAAAAAAGGGAUUUGGGAUAUAAUAAUUUUAGUGUUAGGAUCUUAUCUAUAGCAAUAUAGCAUUAUAUACUCAAAGGGGUAUUUGCAAGAAGUCAAAUGAAGAAUGGUGGCAAAACUCCUACCUUCGGGCAUGUGGGGCCCAUUGUGCCACGCCACGUCCGUAGUCGUAUAUGGUCCAAACUUGUUUGGAUGUGUUUUGACAUAUAGGCCUAGUUGCUGUAGCUAUGUGUGCAUUUUGAGAGUUGAGAGAUCUGAAUGACACUCGUUGCCAUGUUAGCAGAGUGACAGUGCACUUUACUCGUAAGAGACUAAUACAAGGGCUUCCUGAUUUCCACUCUCGAUCCUAGACAACCAAGUGCUCACCCACAAAUCUUAAAUUUUGCUGAGUACAACAUGAGAAACUCAAUUGAUAAUAGUGUAGUUUAGUAAAUAGGUAUUGCAAUUCUACAAUUGUCAACAUCCAUAUUGAGACCUUUAGGCUGUUAAAAAAACAUUCUUAUCUGUAACCAAACAUCAGGAAUUUCAAAUUUUAGACCUGAUGAUACUGGCUGUACAAAAUGUAGCAAUUGGAAUCUCACAUGUGAAAUGUAAUCUAAACUACCACACAGAAAUGGACUAAAUCAAGGUCUAGCAAGCUCCUGAAACAAAAUUCAACAAUUUAUAUGUUUGAGAAAUCAAAGAUGGUUUUGAGAAUACUUGAAUGCUGAAAUGCAUCCCGCAUGAUAUCCUCAUGCUAUUAGAUACCAAAGAGGCAUAAGCUUGGAUGGCAAAUACCAGGCAGAGUAACUGUCAUGCGUUAAUUUUGCGAAAAACCCCCCUGCAAAAAUAGAUAUAACAAGUGAGUUUCGUGUGUCAGUUUUACUGUCCAUGUGUAGUUUUACGUCUCUGUGCACAGGACGCGUCAUGACAAUGCAAGAUUACCCAGGACUACGAGAGAUUCAGCCGGCCGGUACCACCAUCUCAUAUAUGUGCUGGAUCUCCAGGUGAUAAUCUAUAUUAUCUUAGCUUAUAUUAUGCUUUACCAGGUAUUAGUUUCACAGAGCUAAUUGUGCUACUCUGAGUUGCAGGGAAAAAGAGAGAUGCCAAAUGCAAUGGCAUGGACCUUGCCCUUAUGCCCUCCCUCCCGGGUACCGGCUGCCGGUGCUUUAAAGAAGCCCAUGAACUUGAGUAGUAAGUUAAAAAUGACAGGAAGGCGGUCCUCCUGGGGCAGAUCGACCUGCCCGUCAUUGAUCAAUCAUGGCGGGUUUUCUUAUAUGGGCACGUUGAGCUCGACAACGUGAUACCCGCAGCGGACGAACUCCCUAGAUAGGAACAUUGUGCUACUUUGGAUGUAGCGUAAUAAUGUUACACGUGGCCGGCAUGGACGCAUCAAAGUCUAGCUACAUGCCGGUCAGGUGUCGACGCCGUCGCAUUUGUUGCGCGGUUAGUUUAGUUUCCGCAUACGUGCAUGUGAAGAGUGGGGGACACGAGACGAUGCGUGGGUUCGCGCGAUCACCAUCCACCGCGCGGCACGUUGGCUCCGGCCUCCUGUCGCUGAGAUCACCGUCCAGUCACGUCCCUCCGAUCCGGUGCCUCCCACCGCGCUGGUGCAAGCAUACCUGCUACCAAAUGCACACGACGUCACGACGGCAGCGUCUGUUAUCGAUCCCAGGCGAUGCAUGGCUCCAAACUUCCCAACUCCCACCACCUCCCAGGCCAAGCAGAGGCGCCGGACACGGUACACAGGCACACAGCGCUAGCUGCAAACGGAAGAAAAUUAGACGCAGGACUCCUGCAACCGAGUCCUGGUGCAGGACGGCCUCAGAUCACGACGCGUGGGCAGCCUUCCCGAUCGAACGCCCGCGCGAGGAGACGAGCCAGCGCUGAAGAAGAAAAAAAUAGAUGAGCCAGGAACGAGCCAGCAAGACGAGCCACCACGCUGAAGGAAAGCCACGAAGACGAGCUAGGAACGAGCGAGCCCCUCGCGCGCGUGCGGAAGACGAGCCGGUGGAAGACGAGAUGGCGCUGACGAGCCCUUCUCUGAUUCGUUUCACGAACAACAUCCGGGGCCUUCCAUAAUCUCAGGACGAAGACGACGACCCGGCCGUGGUGCUCGACACCUCCGGGACGGCGGGGUUGUUCAGCAGCUGGUGAUCGCAGGAUCGCGGGCCCGCAGGCGUCGUCGGGCGACGCGUAGAGGCCGUCGUCGGUGCCGUGCUGCCGGGCGACGCGUAGAGGCGUGUCCGCGGUGCCGGUCUGCGGCUCCCCAGCGACGGCGGCGGCCUAGAUGCGCUCGACGAGGCAGGACUUCCAUCCAGAGGUAGCGCAUGAGGUCCUUGAACUGCGCCUCGAUUUUCUACUCACGGAAUCACCGCAUGCAGGAGCUAUCGUCUUCCGUAUUAUCGCUGCCUAGGGUUUGAGCUGUCGCGCGUGCAGAAUCAAGUGGCGGCGACCUUGCGAUCCAUAUGGCGCCAUCGGGUCUGGAGGUGGAGUCGUUGGAGCAUGACCUCCUGGGCAGCGGUGACGGAGCGAGCGACAGUAACGGUGAUUAGGGGCGGAUGAGGUAAUCGUAAGGAACGUGAAUAAUAAAUUGAAGUGAUAGUAUAAUAAUAUGUAUUGUUGUAAGGCACCUUUAAUUCUCGACUCAUUGUACAACAGGUGGUUGAUGAAGUUGCGAAAAAUUAUUUCAUCGUUCCUGAAGUUGGAAUGUCUUUUCAAUCUGAGGAGGAAGCUUAUGAUAUGUACAACACCUAUGCAGGCAAGGUUGGGUUCAGUAUUAGAAAGAGCGACACAAAGCGUCGAAGAGAUGGCAGUAUCUAUCUCAAAUAUAUAGUUUGCAGUAGUCAAGGUCAUCGACAAAUUGAGUCAUCAAAGGACACUACAAGGACAGGUUGUGAUUCUCGUAUUCAGUUUAGUGUUAGCAAGGAGGGGGUUUGGUCAGUGCAGAAGGUUGUGUUUGAUCAGAACUAUUACCUUGCAAGUCCAAAUAAAAGACAGAAGCUUAGGUCCCAACGACGUGUUCAAGAAGCGGACAAGAAGCUAAUUGGCCAGAUGAAGGAGGGCGGGAUGAAACCAGCCCAAGUGUUUGAGUUUAUGGUCAAUUUUAUGGAGGAGCCGACAAAGUGCCAUUCUCACGGAUUGAUUGUAACAAUGAGAUUGGUCGGCAGCGCAGAAAAUACUUAGAAUCCAAUGACGCACAAACAUUGUUGGAAUACUUAAAAAAUAAGCAGAUAGAGGAUCCAACAUUUUUUUAUGCCAUUCAAAUAGAUGAAGAAGAUGGCAGGAUGGCUAACUUCUUUUGGGCGGACGGUCAAUCUAUCAUGAAUUACACAUGUUUUGGUGAUGCCGUGUCUUUUGACACCACGUUUCAGACUAAUAAGUUUGAAAUGCCUUUUGCUCCGCUCCUGGGAACCAACCAUUACAAGCAGACUAUAAUUUUUGGGUUUGCAUUAUUGUUUAAUGAGACUAUUGAAUCAUUUGUUUGUCUAUUUGAAACCUUUUUAACAGCUGUCAGGUAAGCAUCCCAACACAAUUUUCACUGAUCAAGAUGCGGCCAUAGCAGGUGCAAUUGCUUAUGUAUUCCUAAACACAAGUCAUCAUCUUUGUUUGUGGCAUAUUUAUCUAAAUGCUGCUAAACAUCUUGGUCAUGUAAUCCAGCAGCAUCCAGAGAAUUUUCUUCCUGAUUUUAAGGGAUGUGUCUAUGAAGAUAGAUCUGAGUUUUACUUUAACAAGAAGUGGGAUGAAUUGUUGUGUGAGUACAACCUUAAGGACAAUGAAUGGAUGUUAAACCUAUAUGAUUUGAGGACAAAGUGGGCUGCUGUGUAUACCGUGACUCAUUUACAGCUGAUAUGAACUCCACUCAAAGAAGCGAAGGUAUGAAUAACGUAUUCAAGAAAAUGUUUCUUAGGAAAUUGUGUAUUUCGGAACUACUUGAAGAAUGUGACAAGGUUUUUGUUAGUCUUCGUAAUAACGAGUUGGAUGAAGAUUUUCAAUCACGUCGAAAGAGUCUAGUUGCACACAUACCUCUUUUGAAGACUGCGGUCGAGUCAUAUACAAGCCGAAUGUAAAAGAGUUUCAGGAAGAAUUUAAUGAACAAUUUUCAUUCUCUUGUAAGUUGUUACACACUGAGGGGUCGAUUUUGACAUAUACGGUUACACAUAUGUACUAUGAUUAUGGAGCAACGGUUGUGUUCAACAAAGUAGAUAUUACCAUUACAUGUGCUUGCAGAAAAUACGAAUCCAUAGGUACAUACAAAAAUCUUUAUUGCAAUAGUAUAGUUUAUAAUACAAAGUAAUGAAAUAUGAUAUCCACAUAUAGGUUUACUGUGCAAGCAUGCCCUCAAAGUCUUCAAUGCAAACAAUAUUUUCUUGUUGCCAUCUCAAUACAUAUUGAAUAGAUUGAAAAAAUAUGCAAAGAAAAGAUUCUAUAUUGAGAAACAAGAAUUUGAAAAGGAAAGCUUGAAAACGCAUGCUGCACGUAUUGCACGAAAGGCGACAUCCAUUGCAUUGAAGUGUUCACUAUCCAAGGAACUUCUUGUUGAUUUGGAGAAUGCCAUAGAUAAGUUGGACUUGGAAGCAGAUAAUUCUCUAAGCAGGAUGCAACAAAAAGCCAGUGAGGUCCCUCUAGUUUCAACAAACUGUGUUAUAGAUACAUUAAGAGGUAAAAUAUCAUUUAGAAUUCCUCGGGUGAUAAAAGGCCCAAAGAGUAAGCGAGGGACCAUCUCCCUUGAAAAGAAUAAAGGGAAGAAAAAGAAAAGUGGUAAAAAGCAAGGUACUACUCAUAUCAAUUCUACAUGUUUUUAUCUAUUAUAUGCCAAUAUAGUUAAAUUGAUAUGUUUGAAUAUAGGACAAGAUUCAACAACUGCAGUAGAAAAUAGAUCCGAAGUAUACGAAGGUGCUAAUCUAAAUCAAUUUAUCGUAAGUCAUAUGUGUUGGACUAAGUCCACUUUUCAUAUUUGAAUUCCUUAUAUGCAACUAUUUAUCGUAAGUCAUAUGUGUUGGACUAUAUCCACUUUUCAUAUUUGAUUUGGUACAGGAUUUUAAUGAUGGUGAAAAGGAUGUUAACAGUAUGGUGCCAAACUCUGCAAAUGAUGUGCAUGGACAAUCUUCGUCCAUGGUUGCUCCAUUGAUCCAAGGUAGCUAUGCUAAUGCCAUAAUACCACAAUUUAAUAUGUACAGAGAUUCUUCAACCGUGGGUGCUCCUUAUAUGCAAGGAGGAUAUACAAAUCUCUUACUUGGAGUUGAUCGAGCUGCCACAUUACAGCCGGCUGUUAAAAAGUUAAUUUUUGGUGGAAUGCCAAAUCAAGAAAGUAUGUAACCUUUGUUGUGUUACCCAUAAUUUUAUUUGGAUCUGUAUUAUAUCAGUUGGUACCAUGUAACUCAUUUAUAUUGUUCGAUAAGGAUCACAUCACCCUUUAUGGACCUGUCAUUUUUUUUUACAUAUCACUUCCACGUACCACUCUUUAGAUUUAAACUUUUUCAGAUUAUGAAAUAUCCCAAAUUUUGUUUGUGAAACGAAUCAGAGAAGCUGUGGCAACAGAUUCUGUAACCCUUCGUUCUGGAGCCAUGAGGCGAGAGGAGCUCCUGCAGGCGCAGAGAAGCCCUGCUAAGCGUCGGCUCGUCUUCCGCCGGCUCGAGAGGCACGCACGCGAGGGGCUCGUCUUCCUAGCUCGUUUAUUUUUUCUUCUUCAGCGCUGGCUCAUCUUCCGCGCGAGGGGCGCGGGCGUUCAAUCGGGAAGGCCGCCCACGCAUCAUGAUCUGGGGCCGUCCUGCACCAGGACUCGGUUGUAGGAGUCCUGCGUCUAAUUUUUUUCCGCUGCAAACGACUCUUCCGCGAGGACUAGUGCGUCGCUCAGCUCCAUCCCUUGACGCGGUACUCGAUCGGUGAGCCGGUUCGUGAGAUCAACUUCGCCGACCUACCCAACAAGCGAGGACUUAGAACUCGCCUAGCGACGUGAUAUCGGAUUUUGUUGCACCUAGUUGUCUUUUUGGUCAAUGGUCAAUUGCUUGCGUGACCCUGCGCGUCUCUCUUCUUACUUUCUUGACUACUUUCUAUCUUAUGAGCCAUUGAAUGAGGUCAGUUCGUUGAACGUCGCAGCGACCUGCUGGCUGGAGUGGGAUCAUCAUUUGAUGGAUUCAUAGAUGGCCACGGAUUGAAGCAGGGAGUACGUUACACGAAGUCUACACGAACCUCGGUCGUCUUCCCGUGUGACGCAUCUACGACAAUGACAUCAGAGAGAAAGUUUGGUUCGCGUGUCUACUCACUUGUGAAAAGGAUGCGAGGCGACGAUCACUUCGAUCCCCUCGAUCUCUUUAUCGCACAUUGAACGUACCGUUAAAUUUGAAGUGCUAGUACCUAUCCCAACAACUUCGUUUCUUGUUCCUGCGACGAUCGAUCUCCUCCGCGACUCGGAACUCCAAGCGUUGGUCAGGCUCAUCUUUCUGUAGUCUGUACAGAUGUAGUACACGGUACUACACCACCCAUCUUUUCACAUCCUACUAGUAGGCAGUAGCACUAUAUAUACACUGAGAUGCACAUACACUACUGCUCCCAGUCCUAGGCAACCCCGUUCGUCCAGCUACUGCAAACAUGAGUGCAAUCAUGUUCGACUCCCGUAGUUUCACGCAUCAGUUCAAGCUCAACUACGAGAAGACGAAGAACGUCGCCAUCGGGCAAGCCGUCAGCUCCGAGGAGAUCUCCGCUGGGGGGAAUCGGCACCCUGAAGCUUGACGGCUAGCUAGCACUUCCAUUGCAUAUUUGCAUUGGUGGUUAGUAGUUAGAUAGAAGAAGCUUUGUUUAGUUGAUCGUGCAGUUGGAGACUCCAAUUGGCGUGAUUUAUUUCGUGAAGCUUCACUCGGUCACCUCGUCUCUUCAAGAUCAGAUCACUGCCCAGUUUUGCUAAAAGUUGCUAAAGAGGUCUGGAGGCCCCCAAACAAGCCGUACCAUCGAUAUGAGAUAAUGUGGGAGAGACAUCAUGCAUUGCCAGAAAUAAUUCGCGAGGCUUGGGAAAAAACAGCUCAGGGAAAUGAUCUUGGGGAUAUUGCUGAAACAUUGAGGAAUGUUAUGGGUAAAUUGAAGAGAUGGAGUUGGGAGAAUUUUGGUGCAGUCACUAGAGAAAUUACCUCUUUACGUGCUCAGAUCGAGGUACUGAAGGCAAGCAAUGGGCCAGGUGAAGAAGUGGAAUUAAGGAAAGCAAUGAUACGUAUGGAUGAACUGUUGUAUAGAGAAGAGAUGAUGUGGCUACAGAGAUCUAGAAUUUCUUGGUUGAGGGAGAGGGAGAUCGAAACACAAAAUUUUUUCAUAGUAAAGCUGUCUGGCGUAGUAGGAAAAACAAAAUUAAAAAACUUAGAAGAGUGGAUGGAUCCUGGUGUAACCAUCAGAAUGAGAUGGAGGAGAUGGCGUCCAAGUAUUUUGAAAAUUUAUUCACAAAGGAUGGCCACAUCCAACCAAGCAUGCUGUUGGACCAAGUGGAAUCUAAGGUAACACAAGAAAUGAAUACAGCUCUAUGCAGGAACUUCACUGAUGAGGAGAUAGAGAAGGCUAUUUUCCAAAUUGGUCCACUAAAGGCACCCGGGCCAAAUGGUUUUCCUGCUAUGUUCUUUCAAAAUAAUUGGGAGGUCUUAAAGAAGGAUGUGGUGGCUGCAAUAAAAGUGUUUUUGAUACCUGUAAAAUGCCUGAAGGUGUGAAUGAGGCAGCAAUAGUACUAAUUCCAAAGGUGGAUAAUCCAACAGAAUUGAAAGAUUUUCGUCCAAUUAGCCUAUGUAAUGUCAUAUACAAAGUUGUCUCUAAAUGCCUAGUAAACAGAUUGCGGCCUUUCUUGAAUGUCCUGAUUGAACAAGAGCAGAGUGCCUUUGUGCCAGGAAGAAUGAUUACUGAUAAUGCGCUGAUCGCCUUUGAGUGCAUUCAUGCAAUGCAAACAGGUAACAGGUAUGCUCAAUCUUUCUGUGCUUACAAGCUGGAUCUUUCUAAAGCCUAUGAUAGAGUGGACUGGGUGUUCUUGGAAGGUAUGUUAAGACAGCUGGGUUUCUCAAAACAAUGGAUUUCUUGGAUAAUGGAGUGUGUUACCUCAGUGAAAUAUUCUGUUAAAUUCAAGGGAUCUUACAGAGAUCAUUUAAACCAUCACGUGGCCUUCGGCAAGGGGAUCCUCUCUCUCCCUUCUUAUUUCUGUUUGUGGCAGAUGGCCUGUCCUUGUUAAUGAAAAGAGCUGUUGAAGCCCGCCAAUUACAAGCUAUUUCCAUUUGUCGUCAGGCUCCUCGUAUCUCUCAUUUGCUUUUUGCUGAUGAUACUUUGUUACUGUUCAGAGCAACUGGUGAACAGGCCAGAAAAAUCAAGGAGGUGUUAUGAAUCAAGUACCGGUCAACUAAUCAAUCCUGAAAAGUGCUCGAUAAUGUUUGGAGUGGCAUGGCCUCAGGAUGCCAUGGGCAGUGUCUGUGGCGAGCUGCAAGUUCAUAAUGUAGCAGGUGAGGCUAAAUACCUGGGCCUGCCUACACCUGAGGGGCGUAUGAAGAAAGGUCGUUUCCAACCACUUCAAAAUCGGUUUGGAAAAGCAUGAAUGACUGGAGCGAACGUAACAUGUCUCAAGCUGGAAAGGAGAUCCUAAUUAAGUCUGUAGCUCAAACCUUGCCAACAUAUAUUAUGGGAGUUUAAAAUGCCCCUUGUUGACGCCCAAAAGUGGCACGGCCCGAGAUACAUGAGGCUAAGAUCAAAAUUGAUUGGCACUAACUCUUGAUAUUUUGCAAGUUUGACUUGAAUAUGAAUUGUGCAGGACAAAAGGGUCGUUUUGGAUGCUCUGGACGUAAUUGUGCUAAAAAGGACGAAUCAACACUUGGAAUGACACCAAAAAUAGCAGAUAUGGCUGAUAUGACAGAGCCAUCCUGACCGACCUACUGAAGCGGUCUGACCAGUUAUUGGUCUUGUGGCUGAUCCGACAAUCCAGACCGGUCACCCAACAGGUCAGACCGGUCAGAUUAAAGUGCUCAAAAUAUAGAUUGGAUAUCACCAUUGCGUAGAUCUCGUCGAGAUGAUCGAAAUGCAUAUGUGGAACGCCUAAUUUGGAGUCCGGAUGAGAGAUUUAUAGCUUCGACAAGAUUCAGCCCUGGGCUGACUGGUUAGACUGGUUUGGAUGGGCGGUCUGACCGGUCUACCCAGCCCUGGGCUGACUGGUCAGACUGGUUUGGAUGGGCGGUCUGACCGGUCUACCCAGUCUAGUCCGAGCUAGGAGUUGUAUUUUGACACGGGAUUUAUGUAAUCUUCGACUCCUACUGGGGCAAGACCUCCCCACCCUAUAAAUAUAAAGGGCAACGGCCGAUUGAGGGAUCCCAAUCGAAUCAAUCUACAAUUUACUUUUAUCUUCUCAACCCUAAUACUUUUCCAACCUCUAUGCUAUUCAUCUACUGUUCUCCACGACCAUAGAUGGCGUUCUAGGCUUGCUGGUCGACCUAGAGCACGCCUUUGCUAGUUUGCUCAUAAACUAGUCAUUCUUCGCCACAUAAGUGCGUUGGUUAUCCCUUUGCUGGUUUGCUCGUAAACCUAGCCGUCCUCCACCAUGUAAGUGUGGUCUUUACCUCCUCGAACGACUGAUCCGGGCCAAACCUCAGGAGACCGAUUUGACCAGGUUGCUGGACCGGUCUGACCGGCCUGUGCAGCAUCUCUGCCAUUCGGUCCGUUCGCGACCCGUGCGAUAUAGUGCACUCGUGUGUUAGCCGAAAAAGGCGUCAACACUCCUCACUCUUUGUGAUGACUUUAUGCAAAUUAUAAGGAAUUAUUGAUGGGGUGCAUAGAAUGGUCGAAGGAAGACACAUUGGUGUUCUUGGGAGACAAUGCUACAACCAAAGAGUAAUGGUGGAUUGGACUUUCGGGACUUGCGUCUUUUUAACCGAGCUUUGCUAGCUCAACAGGGCCUGGAUAGUUUAUGUGCAAAGGUCAAAUAUUACCCGAGGGAAAAUUUGUAUCCAGGCUAAAUAUUACCUGAGGGAAAUUUGUUGGAUACAGUAUUUGGUGGCAAUAUUUCAGCCACAAGGCGUUCCAUUAUGUAUGGACCGGAGCUGGAAAAAAAAAGAAUUCUACAAAGAAUUGGAAAUGGCAGUAGUAUUCAGAUUUGGCGAGAUAAUUGGAUUCCUAGAGAAGUUUCUUUGAAAGUGGUAACAAAAUGCAGAAGGCCAAGAAUCAGGUGGGUCUCUAACUUAUUUGAGAAUAAACAUAGAGAUCGGAACUGCGGCCUUACUAGAAGUAUUUUUCUACCAGUGGAUGCUGAUGCUAUUCUAAAGAUAAGGAUUCCCACUAAUGAAACACGAGAUCAAAUUGCUUAGCAUUUUGAGGAAUCAGGGUUAUUCUCAACAAGGUUUGCAUAUAAAUUGGCUCCGAGGAUGCAACGUCAAGACCAGAUAGCAUUGAGUACAGAACCAAAGAGGAGGGAGAAGCUAUGGAGCAAUAUCUGGAAGGAUGUGCCACCAAAAGUACAUAUGUUUGCAUGGAGACUUGCCUCAAAUGCUCUUGCAUCGAACACUAAUAAGAAGGCGAGGCAUAUUAUUGAGGAUGAUACCUGCACAAUCACUACAAGAAAUCUUCCGACUAGUAACGAACCAAAGAAUGUCAUAAACACAUUUUUUCAUCAUAAACCAUGAUUUAUGAUGCAGGAGUGACGAAAACUCUUCGUCAUUCGUUGAGCGUCAUAAACUGCGACUAGUGAUAUUCCUUAUUUUGGUGUGUCACUAAGGUUAUGACGAAUGAAAAUUCAUCCCACAAGUCAUCAUAAAACUAUUUCCGAGGUUGCGCCACGUUAGACAAGAAUCCAAUGUGGCUCCGACAUGUUAGCUGUGUUAUGACGAUUCUGGUACGUCACAAAUUGAAGCCCGGUUCAUGUAAGAGCUUUUUUAGCCCAAAUUUUAUUGGGCCAUUUGUAGCCCAAAUGAGGUUUCCAUGCAAUAUUUUUUUAUGAAAAAAAUUGUUGCAGGCCAUAUUGGGCCAAAAAUUUUUGUGUGUCAGGCCCAUGUAACAAAUAUUAAUUAAUUUAAAAUCCAACUAGAUUAAUCUAAAGAAUUAUUGCAUUCUUAUUGCUGACUGCAUACAAUUUUGACGCCAAUUUCAUAUAUACACAUACUAUCCAUUUUUGGCUCGACCUAAUUUACAUGGCAACAGUGGCCCAAUUAGCACCCCAUCUGUUUGGUCUAGAACAAGUAAAAUUUACAUACACACAAAUGAGGAAGCACAAAGUUGCACCGAAUGCAUCUUUCAAAGGGAUUUGCACAAGAACAGCAGCAGUAGCAGGUAUCAACAAUCAAAUUCUUCACCAUGAACUAGACUUCUGAUAAUCAUGCUUCAUCAUUUUAUACGCUGUAAAAGAAAUAAACUGGUGCAUGAAACAUGAGACAUUAACUCUGCAAAAGUGACACUUGACUCUUUAAAUAAACUAAAAGUAAACUAACAAUGUUUAUGGUUGUAGGUGCAGCCCUACGUAAUAAGACCACAAGCAACGGCUUUGCUUACAUUUCUUAUUUACUUCCAUCUUCUCAAGAAUUUCUAGCAGCCUUGCAGUUAGGGAUGGCAAUCGGGUGGAUCUGGACCUGAGACCCGUGGGUUUCAGAUGGGGGCGGGUCUGGAAUUCCCCUCACGGGUCUCGGGUUCAGGAACCCAGGGCGGGUACGGGACCGGGUUAUGGAUUCCCCCGUCCCACGAAGCACGAAGCGGCUGCUGGCCUGCUCCCACUCCAUCUCUCACCUGCCGAUCUGGCCCAUCAGACCUUCUACUACCACAGCUCCCGACUCACCCCCUCCAUCUCUCAUCUGCUCGUGCUACCUCUUCUCCAUCUCUCACCCGUCACCCAUGCACCUAGAGGCGUUGACGACCAGUGCGCCGUCGCACCCCCGCGUGGCUGGCCCUAUCCCUAGUGGCAGCGGCGGCCAGCCCCCCUGCGCGGCCGCCCUACGACCAAGACGGGGCCAUGGACGGUGGCGGCGGCGGAUCUCCUCCUACCUGGCGGCACCACGCCUCUGCCGCGCCGUCCCCCCUCUCUCUCCCCGCGCCGCCGGCCGCUCCCUCCCUCUCUCUCCACGCCGCCCCCUCCUUCUCUCCCCGCGCCGCCGGCCAGGAGGAGGGUGCGGUGGCGCUGGUAGAGGUGAGGGGCGGCAGCGGUGCUGGCAGAGGUGAGGGGCUCGGGUUUCGGGGUCUCCGUCGGGUUUCGGGGCCCCGCGGGGUUUGGGGAUGGGUGCACAUUUUCACCCGAAAUGAGAUUCAGGGCCGGAUCAGGUUUUAUUCUCGGGUUUCGGGAACAGGUUCACGGAAGUUCCACCCAACCCCGACCCGUCCCGUUGCCAUCGCUACUUGCAGUGAAUUCGUCAACCUGCCUUAUCCUGAAAUUAGGAAAUGACAGAUUUCUGUUGAUACGACUCCUUAUAAGCUUAUCAAAAAAAGAAAUCAUUGUACAGCUAGGCAAAUCAAAAAUAGGCUAGCCGCUCAAUAAUGUUUAACAGUCUAACAGAGGAGUAUAAAUAAACUACUGAAAGGUAGUAGGCACAGCUCGAGCAUCAUGCAGACAAGCCAUCCACCUUGUUGGAUGGCAUUAGUGACCAAUGUAGAAGAGAAGUAGUAAAUAACAGAGCAAAAGACUAUGGCAAGGAAAAAGUUCCAUUCCUUGACAAUAUGAGGCCUACAACAAAGUCCAAUGGUCCUAGUUUAAAUAUUGUACUUCAUAUGGGUAGAUCAAUUGAAUGUUUUAGAUUUAAAACCACAUGUCAAGAUGUAACAUUUACCUCCCAAAUGGUGACACAGGUUGAAUGUCUCACAGCUCUACAAGUCUCUGUUCAGUACCUAGGUGGUCAUGUAACUUUGGGUCGAGCACCUGAAUAAUAGAAGCAAGAUGCUGAAGCUGGUUUGGUAUCCAGAGUGUUAAAAUAUUUAGAUCAGAGCACAGAGCAGGGAGCACGUGAAGCAAUAUUCAGAUCAGAGUAGACAGACAUGUAAAUCCUAGAUUGAUACAUGUAUGCUCUAUUUAUGAUAUCAUUUGGUCAAGCUAUCAGGUUAACAUUUCAAUACACCAUCAUCUCUAUUAGAAGUUCAUGUCCAACAAGGUUAAAUAACAUUUGGUCAAUAUUAUUCUUUUUGUGCAGUACAAUCUUUUACCUCACAAAGGAAACAGAAGGUUGCACCCUCUUGAUGCUACCUGAAAGCAUUACAUGCACGCUACUACUGAUUUUUUUUACAGAAAAUAGAAUAACUAAAGGUCCAACUGCACACUUGUGUUUGAUGUGUUGAAAUAAAAAUGGCUAUUAUUCUACUACCAGAUUGAAGGAUUUAAAUUCAUAAACAAAUUUUAUUGUAGCAUGGAUUACUGACAGAUUUUUAAAUCCAGGUAAUAAUAAACAAGGCAACCAUACACAACAAAUUGAUCUAACAUCUUAUUUCCCACAUGCUUGUUCAUAGAACAUUCAGUCAAAUAUGCAAUUCAGACUUUGCCAAGAAUGUGCCAGAACUCAAUGAUUAAAUGGUAAUUUUCAGAUAUACCUUGGUGCUUUUCUCCUGCCUAGUCAAAGUUGAUAGGUGGUGGUUUUAACAUGCAGUAGAUGAGCUGAGGGGAUGAGAAGGGACAGAACGGACAUUGCGGCUGUCUAGUGCGUGUCCAUGCUCCCUUGUGCUGCAGUAAUGCCUCUGCCAGCUGCGAUACGUCCACAUCCAUUUCCCUUAGCCAUAACUCCACGCAACAAAAGUCCUCCCUUUCCUAUGCGCAAACAAAGAGCCCAAUCCACAUUCAACCACAGCGAAUAAAACAACCCACAAACAAUAUAAGGAAUCAGGAGCAAAAUCGAAUGGAAAAACAUUCUUGUUCACCUGGUUUCGAUGGAGCCGCCUGCUGCAUCCCCAAGAGCCGCCGCGUGGCAUGGGGUGAUGCGCGUGAUCCGUACCAGCGAAGGCAAGCAACAGGUGGUUGUUGACGUUCGUUAUUGACACACUUUUAGUACUAUUUAAUCAGUGUUUUCAUUCUUAAUCUUAUAUUGACCCGCCCCUUGGCACCUAAAAUAACUCCAUUAUUACAUAUUAUUGUAUUUUAGAUUAUAUUGCAUUAUGACAGGAAAUACGACAUAAUCAAGGGGGUUUGCAUAAAGAACUUAAUGGAUAACAUGGGUCGUCGAGAGAAGCCAACACGAGGAAGGAGAGGACUAAAAGGACCAUGAAGGGAUCGGCCAAGGACCCUCUGGGCCCAUCAGCCUGACCCAUUCCAGGGUCCAGUCGACCUUCCGUUUCUUCAGCGUGAAGUCUACGAUAAUGUCUAGGGUUUUUUCACCAACAUUGACCCAGAGCCGCUGCCUACGGGGAACUAUAAAUACCCCUUCAUGAACUUCAAGGAAGAGAAAGGGGGAAAGAGAGAGGAGAAAACACCACGUAAACACCAUCUAUCACCGCCACAAUGAGGAAAAACGGAGAAAAGAUUGGAUCUAGAAGAAGCCACGCGAAGCGAAGCACCAGAGCAGGGAGAAACCUCCCAAACCGAUCAGCUUGGAGGUGCCCAGUUCUUUCAUGCAUGGUGAUUACAUCUACAAGUGAUCCUAGAUUCCUAAGACAAGCGUUUUAUCUAUCUUGUUUACAUUCAUACUCUCUAUCUGUUUUAAUCUAAGUCACUAGUUUGUUAGAUCAAUCUUAUCAUAUAAAAAAACCUUCGGUUACAUAGAUUAGUGCUUAGUUAAGCGUGCAAAUCCACUUAUUCCACAGAUUGAUAAACCUUGGAGGGAAGAGUUACCACUGAUUCAUACGCUUGCGGUUCAUAAAUUGAUGUGCUAACUGCCAUCAACAAGCUUUUCUGGCGCCGUUGCUGGGUAACAACUCAGUUUUGCUAUGUUUAACUUUGUAUUAAUUUUUGUUAACCCCUAACAUCUAACUUUUUCUCUAGAAAAGAAAACCUUUAUUUUUGUUUUUGGUGUCUAGAUGGCUCUAAUAAAUCACUACAAGGAGGAAGGAGAAAAUUCGCUAAGGGACUAUGCAAUGCCAUUAACCGAUCAAUUCGAUAUGUAGAAAUCCGACUCAGUGCUUGCAGCCAAGGAGUACAUCAUGGAUAAAGGAAUAAUUGACAUAGCUGGAAGACAUCCUUUCCAAGGAGUGGAGACUGAUAAUCCAUAUAGACACAUUGAGUGAUUCACGAUGCUAUGCAACACGCUACAACAAGGAAUUCCGCCAACUUGGUUCAAGUGGAAUCUAUUCCUGUUUUCACUUGAAGGUGAAGCGAGAUGAUGGUAUGCAAAAGCUUCUUUCGACACGAAGGGGAAUUGGGAGACACUGAUGAUAAAGUUUUAUGAGAGAUUUUUCUCUAUUAGCAAACUUUAGAACCUUCGGAAGGAAGUUAUCAUGUUUGUGCAAGAAGAAGAUGAAGGAAUAGAUCAAGCUAGUCAGAUUCAACGAACUACUCGAACAAGGACCUAAGCUUGGAUUUUCAGGUGAUGUGUUGUUGUAUACAUUUUAUUUUUCACUAACCCAAAAAUACCGGGAAUUUGUUCAAAUGUGUGCAGGAGGAGACCUUAUGAAAAAAGACACUUAGGGAGGUUGCUCAACUUCUACAAAAAAUCGGCGGAGGAGCAGCCGUAAACAGAGAAUGGGAUAAAUAUCAAUCUGGGGCAUGAGAGGAAGGAAAUCAAGAACAUAUACUUGCUGGAAUUUUCAGAAAAGAACUCUAGAAAGAUGAGAAGGAAGACCUGUGGUGAAAAAAGAAGAAGAACCAGCACAGAUAAAGGAGAAACCUACCCGGUGCAUCAAAUACGACAAACCAAAAAUAUCAGCAGCUCGAAGCUUGGCCCUGCGGAAGUUUGAACAAAUGGAUUGGAUUCCUAUCGAUUUCAGCGAGAUAUUUGAUAAAUAUAGGCCAUAUCCAAAUCAAAAGGGGUCAACCAGUGCCAUAGAGAUGGAUUUUCCACUAGAGAGACACACUGGGUAUAUGCUUGACAAGGAAACAGUUGGAGAAAUCAUUCAAAAACUUUUCAGCGAAGAAGUAAACCCAGAAUAUGUUGUUGAAGUAAAGAGAGUCAUGGGAGUAAAACCUGAAGCAUCACCUUUCGCCAGCCUAGUGCAGAUAUACGCAAUUGGGAUCAAUAAAAACAAGGGAGUGUAUUUGCCUACACCGCAUAUUGACUGCAUGAUCAAUGGGAAGAUUAUCGACAAAGCACUCUGUGAUAUUGGAGCACAUAUAAGUGUCAUGUCUUCAAAACUUUAUGAUAAACUUUUUAGUAAGACUUUGCAACUUGCUCCAACACCAAUUAAAUUGAUCAUGGGAGAUGGUAGAACAACCGAACCUUUGGGUGUGCUUAGAGAUCUAAAAGUUGAUAUCUCAAAUAAAUCUAUACCAACUGAUUUCUUUGUUAUUGAUCCUUCCCAUGAUAAACAUGAUGAUAUAAUCCUUGGUAGACCUUUUCUUAAAUUGGUAAAUGCUAUGCUUGAUGCAGGAGAAGGCAAAGUAACAAUUAAUUUUGAUGGUGCUAGAAAUACUUACAAUUUUCUGCCUGCAUCUUGGAAAAAUUUGCAUCUAUCUCCUUGUAACGAGGAGGUAGAAAGGGUAUGCUUUGCUAAAAAUUUUAGGGAGUCUUUAUUAAGAGCAAUGGAAAAUAAUGAGGAUGACCAAAAUAACAAAUUGGGAGAAGAAACUAAAGUAUUGUCACCUCAAUAUGGAACUCUGGAGGAAGAAAAAUUCGAAGAUAUUGGAGAAUUGAUGCAACAAAAACCAGAAGCACCAGAUGUUGAGCAGAAGCCGUUACCCAAGGGAUUAAAAUAUGAAUAUUUUAGGAAUAACAAGACGUAUCCAGUCAUUGUUAGCGACGACUUAAGCAAAGAAGAAAUUGAGAAGUUGCUGAAUUUAUUGAGAAGACAUCAAAAAGUGCUUUGGUACACGAUCAAAGACUUAAAAGGAAUUGGUCCAGCCUUCUGCACUCAUCGGAUAUAGUUAGAAAAUCAACAUAAGCCAGUUGUGGAGGGACAGAGAAGACUAAGCCAUGCUAUGCACGAUGCAGGAAAGAAGGAGGUGAUCAAAUUGCUUAAUGCUGGGAUUAUUUAUCCAGUACCACACAGUGAAUAGGUGAGCCCAGUGUAUUGCGUACCUAAAAAAGGAGAACUUACUGUCGUAACAAAUGAGAAGAAUGACCUGACCCCUCAGAGGACGGUAACAGGGUGUUGGAUGUGUAUCGACUACUGGAAGCUGAAUAAGGCAACUAGGAAGGAUCACUUCCCUUUGCCUUUAAUUGAUGAAAUGCUUGAAAGGUUAUCAAAGCAUUCUCACUUUUGCUAUCUUGCUGGAUGUUCCGUGUUCUUUCAAAUUCCUAUACAAUCAGAUGAUCAGCAUAAGACCACGUUCACUUGUCCAUAUGGAACUUUCGCUUAUAGAAGGAUGCCUUUUGUAUUGUGCAAUGCACCUACAUCUUUUCAAUACUGCAUGAUGGCUAUAUUUUUAGAUUUCAUUGAAGAUACCAUCGAGGUAUUUAUGGAUGAUUUUUUAGUUCAUGGUACAAGUUUCGACAACUGUCUGGAAAAUCUUAAUAAAGUUCUUAAGCAAUAUAUAGAAGUUGAUCUAGUUCUAAACUUGGAGAAGUGCCACUUUAUGAUGAAACAAGGACUAGUAAUUGGGCAUGUCAUCUCAGAAAGAGGGAUAGAAGUUGAUAAAGCAAAAAUCAAAACUGUGGAAAAGUUGCCUCCGCCUAUAGAUAUAAGGUCAUUGAGAAGCUUUCUCGGACACAGGAUUUUAUAGGAGAUUCAUUAAGGAUUUUUCAAAGAUCACCAAACCAUUGACACAGCUCCUGCAAGAAGAUGUGAAUUUCGAGUUUGAUGAAGACUGCCUCUAAGCUUUCAGAACUUUAAAACAAUCGCUCAUUAGUGCGCCCAUCAUUCAACCUCCAGAUUGGAAUCUACCUUUCGAAAUAAUGUGCGUUGUAAGUAAUUAUGCUAUUGGGGCAGUCCUUGGAUAAAGAAAAGAAGGGAAGGUACGCGCAAUUUACUAUGCUAGCAAAACAUUAAAUGAGGCUCAAAUAAAUUAUGCAACUACGGAGAAAGAAUUGCUUGCGGUAGAGUUCACUUUUGAAAAAUUCAGAUCUUAUAUUGUGAACUCCAAGGUGAUUGUGUACACCGACCAAACUGCGCCUAAAGAUCUUUUGUUCAAGAAAGAUACUAAACCACGUCUGAUUUGCUGGAUAUUGCUGCUACAAGAAUUUGAUGUGGAUAUCAGAGAUAAACAGGGAUCAAAAAAUAUGGUGGCUGACCAUUUGUUGAGAAUGUAUCAACAAGAUGAUGAAAAAGAGCCUAUUGAAGAUCAAAUGAGGGAUGAUCAUCUAUAUAGAAUUCUCGACAAGGAUACUUGGAUGAAUGACAUUAUUAGAGCAAUAAAAAGAGCUCCCUUGAAUCACUUACACAGGAAUGAAAGGAGAAAAGUGGUUGCUGAAAGUAAGAAAUACUAUUGGUCUCCACCUUAGCUAUAUAGAUAUGGAGCCGAUGGAGUAUUAAGAAGAUGCAUCCCAAGGGAAGAAAGGGAAGCGGUACUUCAAAAAUGUCAUUCAUCUGAAUAUGGAGGACAUUAUGGAUAUUUCAAAACUCAAGCAAAAGUCUGGGCAAGAGGAUUUUAUUGGCCAGAGAUGCAUGAAGAUGCAAAGAUAUUCGUUGCUACUUGCCCGGAAUGCCAAAGAACAGGAAAUAUUUCAGCUAGAAAUUCUAUGUUGUUGAACUACAACUUGAAGGUGGAUUUCUUUGAUAUUUGGGGUAUAGAUUUCAUGGGAUCAUUCUUAAAGUCACAUGGAUUUGAUCACAUAUUGGUCAUGGUUGAUUACGUGUCUAAAUGGGUAGAAGCUAAUCCAUAUUGGAAGGCGUCAACAGAAGAAUCAAUUCACAUGAUCAAGACUAUAAUAUUUUCCAGGUAUGGAGUGCCAAGAAUUUUGAUCAGCAAUGGAGGAUCACAUUUCACAGGAAAAGAUUUUGGCAAAUAUCUAUCAAAAUUGGGGAUUGAACAUAGAGUAUCUAUAGCCUAUCAUCCUCAAAUGAAUGGACAAGCAAAAACUUCUAAUAAACAGUUGAAAGAUAUCCUGAAGAAGACAGUGAUCAAAUGAGGGAAGGAUUGGUCAAAAAAGUUAGAUGGAGCAUUAUGGGCAUACAGGAUGGCUCAAAACACCUAUAGGUAUGACCCAAUAUCAAUUCGUCUAUGGAAAAACAUGCCACCUUCCCGUCGAACUCGAACAUAAAGCUUAUUGGGCUAUAAAGGAGAUGAAUCUUGAUGUUGAUGCUGCAAGAGUAAAAAGAAGAAUUUAGAUCAGUGAAUUAGAAGAGACGAGGCUUAAAAGCUUACUACAGUGUAACCAUUUAUAAAGAAAGGAUAAAGAGGUGAUUCGAUAAAAGGCUUCGCAAGAAAGAAUUUCAAAGAAGGAGCAAAGUGCUACUGUUCAACUCUAGGUUCAAACUCUUCGAUAAAGGAAAAUUGAUGAGCAAGUGGGACGGACCAUAUGUGGUUUAUUCUAUAUCACCUACCCAAGUAGUAACGAUUAUGGGCAUCAAAGGAGAUCAAUAUGUUAUGAAUGGAUAGUGACUAAAGGUAUUCUUGUAACUUGACAUCGUGCCCAUCAAUUAUAUUGGCGUUUACACCAUAGAGGAAGAAUGGCCACGUCAAGCCUGAUGACACUAAAACAGGUACCUUGUACAUACUCUAUCUUACAUUAUAUUAUUUUCUUUUGAAUUUUUAUGUGGUACUCAAAUAUUGGAUAUAUUUUUAGACGUACGCGCUGCCACGAAAAAGCGAAGAGUAGAGGGACCAAAAACCCAUAGGCUGAUCAGCCCAGAGACCCCAGGGCGAUCGGCCUGGAAGGUUUUCACCUCCGAUUUAGUUCCCCCUUUCCCAUCUUUGGUAAUGACAGAACAUGGAAGUGAAUUUUUGCGGGAAGGAGCGAGGAAGUUUUUUGGAAAUGCAUGGAUCCUUGGCCAAGACUUCAAGAGUAUAUAAUGAGGUCAAUUGGAGCUCGAGUUUCACAUCUAUACAAGCAAUUCAGAUCCACCCAAAUCAGAAAAAAAGUGCAAUGGCAACAUCCAGGAGCUCGGGAGACAAGAGGGGGCACCAACUGGCGAAGGAGGAGGUCAUGCCGAUUGGCCUAACCUUCCCAGGCCGAUUGGCACCAGCCCCUCCCUUGGCCGCCACCUUCACCCUUCACAUGGAAGCUAAGAGGUGCAAGUUAGGUCCCCAAACUCUGCCAAGGACCGCUCGUAACGCUUGCAUCAGUGUUGGAGGCAAGGCGCCGUCAGGAAAGCUCGCAGAUCACAAGUUCAUCAUCCUCUCGAGUGAUGAUGAGGCACCGAUGAAGAAGAAGGAGGCCGUCAUCUCUCCCACAAUACGUUCAGUAAGGCUCCUCCGGAUCAAGCACAAGAGAUAUGUGGAGAAGACGCCCGAGUACUCACUGGCUCACUAUGGAGGUGAUAGCGAUUGGGAGGCCGAUAGGAGCCCUGGAUCGUGGGGUGCUGCAGGCCGUGAUGAUGAAGAAGAUGCCAACAUGUACUGCGAUUGGGCUAAUGAGAUGAAGAAAAGUAAGGAGGAAGAGGAACGUCGUAAAGACAAGAGCAAAGAAAAAGAUCUAGAAGACAAUGGGCUAGAACUGGAGGAGCAUGAUCGUAUGUGUUGUACCUCUUGCUGGAAGAACAUCCACUACCUCUUCGACACCGUCGAUACAUCAUACAGGCCUUGCAAGCUCUGGAUAAGAAGGUUGAAGACAGUGAUCGCCAUCAGGAAGAUGACUUCAAGUUCUUGCAAAGGAACGUGAGGAAGCUCUUCGGGAUGUGCGGCAAUAUGAGGAAGAACAGAGCUAAUUGGGAACGAAGCAACAACCGUCCCGUGUGCAAGCAGUGCGGCCAGCAUCACUAGUGCGUUUACAAGCGUCUCUCCCUUUGUACUUCAUUCGGUUAUGACGAGAAAGUCGUAGAUUUUAAGCGUGGGGGGAGAUCGCCGCUCGUAAGGAGUUUUUGAAUCUAGUUUGGUCGAGUCGAGUCAUGUCAGAGUCUAAAUUAGUUUUUUUAUUUCAAUCAAAAGUAGAUAAAGUAGUAGUCUUCUUAAGCUUCUUGGAAGACUUAGGCCUAGAUCGCUACUUUUGCGUCUUUCUGAGAAGAGGCAUGAAUAAAAUCGAGGAUUGUGCGAGUGUUUUUAGUGUCUACCUUGACUUGCUUCUCUUUUAUUUUGCUUUACAACUUUGGAUCAUGAGAUUUGUCUUGAAUUCUAAAUCUUAGUUGUAGAGUUUAGUAAUUGAUUUGUUUAUGCAAUAUCCAUGCUUUAUCAUGAUCAAGUGUUUUGGUUUGGAUUAUCCUUUAUGAGUAAGGUCUAAAUUGGAGGUGAUUUAAAAUUUUAUUGCUUAAAACCUUUGCAAAAACAAGAUUGAUCAAGUUCUUUAACCAGGUUGAGAGUUAUUAUUUAUCCUAGCCAAUGCCUAAAAGGAUUAGUUCGUACCACCAUAAGCAGAUUCGACGCUUUGAAUUGAGUUAGGAUAGCUCUCUCUUGGUCUGCUUUAAUUAUGAGCAUUGAUCUGUAUCUUUUACCAUCUCUGAUUUCUAACCUCAUCAAUAUUCAGCAAUGAGAGUUGUUUACUGGAACAAUAAUAUUUUCUAUUGCAUUCAUAAACCUGAACCAAAUAUUUCUUAAUUUUAUUACAUAUUCCUUGAACACAACCCAAUAUUCGAAGAUCUGUUCGGUUUCUGAUCGAGCUUUAUGAAAAAUAAGGAAAGGUACAAGAAAAGGAAGUUUCACCAGGAAGUUGAGCCAGAGUGGAGGAUAAGAGAGGCCAGGCCGAUCGGCCUGGGGUCUCCUUGCCUCAGUUUUCGCGCAGCAAGUUCUUGGAAGGCCUCUGGAAGGAUCUAAAACUAAUUUUUAUGAUGUGGUGUUCAUAGGAGGUUAGGAGAAGAGAUAAAGAAAGAAAUAAAGAAGGAAGGAAAGAAAGAAAAGUAUUGAGAAAGAGAAAAGAAAUAAUAGAAGAAAAAGAAAAAGAAAUAAAGGAGGAGUUUUUACUGUCAUAAAGAUCAAGAUAGGUUCAAACAAAAGAUGAACUUGUUUAUAGAACAGAUUUUCAUUCCAAUCAUGUGCAAUCCGAUGACGAGGACAUCGCUUGGGCCUGAGAGUCACUAUUUUAUUUGCAUUUGCACAUGUCCACCAUUCUAUAUCUUAUCAUCCUUGAAAACCUCACAUUAUGUGGAUAUUCUUAUGAUCAAUGGCUCAAAAGGUAGGCAACCACUAAAGAAUUUUCUUAAUUCGAUAAUAUAAGUAUUGAUUCCAUCUAGCCUUACCCAAGCUCCACCAUAUAAUUGAGUGAUUUUUAAGAGAUGAGAGCUUGCAUAUAAGUAGGAUAGCCACUAUUCAUUUGAAGGACAUGUAAGCACCUGGAAAAGAAUUCUUGUUUCAAUUUUGUUCCAGGGAGAUUGUUUUAUGCCGAAAGAAAAACCCUCCGAAGAAAGUCAGAAAGUAAGUGUAGUUGAUUCUUAAAGUUACUUGAUCUAAAUAAUAGCUGUGGGGAAUCUUUGCUUAGAUAAAUCUAUGAACACCCAUAUUUUGAUUAUAUUUUCUGCUCCUUGGAUCUUAUGUUUGAAGGCUAGGUACUUCAUUCACUUGCUCAGGUUUAGUUCAAGAUCUUUGUUCAACUCUGCUGGAGAAGUUUAUAGUCGGUUGACUUGCUCGAGGACGAGCAAGAGCUAAGCAUGGGGGGAUUGUUGACGCUCGUUAUUGACACACUUUUAGUGCUAUUUAACUAGUAUUUUCAUGCUUAAUCUUAUACUAACCCGCCACUUGGCACCUGAAAUAAUUCCAUUAUUGCGAAGCCAUUAUCUCUUGAUAUAUACUGCGAAGACAUUAUAUCCUGGUGAUUUUCAUUUGAGGGUGUUUUAGAGAGCAUUUUGGGGGUGGCUAUAGAUAAUCAACGUGAUAUUUAUCUCUUGAUAAUCAAAUUAUUUUGUGGUUUUCAUUCGAGGGUGGUUUAGAAAGCACCAAAUUGAUCUUUCACCGAAUAAAUUAUUACUGUUGUCAUGUUGGAGAUUGAAAAAUACGGAUUCCUUUCAUUGGCUCUGGAUAACCAUUUGUUCUGUCCAUUUUGCUCACUUCUAAGGCCCCAUUUGGUAGAGCUUCGGUGUGGCGGAUCCACUUCGGAUUAGCUUGAUUAAACAUGAUUAAGUCGCCUAAUAUGCGAGACUCAUGCCUUAGUCAAGUUAACAUGAAGUGCCGUCGGAUUUCAUCCGAUUUAACCACUCGAACAGGACCAAAUUAGCAAACUCACACGAAGGUGAGCGGUUCCAGAGAAUACAACAAGUCCACUGAGUUAACAAAUUAACCAUUUAGUUGGGCCAUAAAACACCAUCAGAGUUUACAAGGUUUGAAAUAAAACCACAGAAGAUAAAACAACAAGCGGAAGCUACUUCGUCGGGGUCGGACAUCCCUGGUGAGGCCAACCGGGACAUCAGUGAUCCCGCUCCUCGCCGUCCGAGGAGGGAUCCCACUCGACCGUCCAACCCGGAGGGAGUUGGGGCGGCCAAGUGCCAGCGGAAAGGGGCUCAGAAGCAGCAACUUCACCUGAAAAAGAAGAGCCACAACAAGGCUGAGCUACUAAGCUCAACAAGACUUAACCGACCGGGAGUAGACUACUCUACCACUUCUAGACAUGCAAGGCUCUUUGGCUGAGGGGGUUUGCUUGCCAAAAGCAACUACAGUGGGUCCUUGCUUUGAAGUUUUAGCUCAGGUUCCAAGUUCAUUAACCAGUCUAAGUUUGCAACCUACUUCGAAUCAAACAUAGAACCAACCAAAGGUAUAUACAUCAUCAUCAAGACCAUGUCAUUAUCAGAUUCCUUUACUUACUCAGGGUGACAUAGCGAUCAAGUAGUCUCAAACUGUGAGAGGCAGACGAAUCGAUUCGAGUUUCUUAACCAUGCAUGGCGAACCUAAUCUCACGACAUCCGCGUACCACAAGGGCCGCUUCCUGUGUCGGCCGUCCCCAUUAAUUCCCAUGCGCAUGUCAGGUCCAAACUUCCCUUGGCAUGCAAUGCUCCAUAGUCCCGGUCUCUAUCGUACUGUGACCGCACUUGCACCCACAUGAUGCACCAUGGGAACCUCGUUCCAGGGACAGCAGGGGUAUAAGCCACGCCCUAGUUCAAUUAGGUACUAGGCUUCCCCAUCCCAUACUAGGUAUGAGAUUAGUACUUUCAAACACUUGAUCACGAACACCACCACUGUCGGGCCUUAGCAAGUUUCAUAGACAGACGGGGCGAUCAGCCGACCACCAAAAAGUUACCCAAAACCCUGCCCCGUCCAUCGUCCUUAUAGUUGUAACAGAAGGGUAAACAUCCAACUCCUACAACUCGCGAGUGAUAGGGAAUCACUCGGCUUUUAUCGUUUCCUAUUUAAGCAAGCAUCUACUCGGUCCAACAGCUAGUGUUCAGAUCAAUGGAGCUAAGUUAUGCAUCUAUGGUUCCAAACAACUCCUAUACGAAAAUGCACAAACAUGUUAAAGAAGGCAUGCGCAAGUUUGGGAAACACAGGGGUUUCAUGCAUCCGGGGCUUGCCUUCAAGCGAGAAGGAAGGAAGCUGUUCUUCUGCUUGGGCGGCUUCGGCUUCUGGGGGCAGGAGCUCAGCUACACCGUCAUCUUCUGGCGCCGGGUGCAGCUCAUAGUAGCCGUCGGCGAGACGCAGCUCUACACGAAUGCAAUGCAUUAGUUAGCGUUUAGACGGUUAUUUCAAUAGCAACACUUGCAAGCCUGAGCCCAGAAACUUGCGACAAGUUACAGGAGGGUGGGGAGGUUCAAAGGAGUCGAUGGAGAUCAAGGUAUAAGGGUCAGGUGGGGAGGAACUUAUGAUCUGACCCUUAGACUAGAGGAAUAGAUGUGUUGGGGGGUCCUCAGACUUGACGCUGAGAGUCCCCGAGUUUUACACAUAUACCCUCGGUUCAAGGAAAAAGAUACAGCCGAGCCCUCGGGCGAGGCGGAGAAGGGUCAGCGGAACAGACAGGGGUCGGGCGGUCAGCAGGGGUCGGACGAACAGAAGGGGUUGGACGAACAAAAGGGGUCGAACGAGGCGGAAAAGGGUUGGACGAACAGAAGGGGUCGGACGAGGCGGACAAGGGUCGGACGAACAGAGGGGUCGGACGAGGCGGACAAGGGUCGGACGAACAGAAGGGGUCAGACGAGGCGGACAAUGGUCAGCAGCUUACCUUCGUUUCACAGGUGAAGUUUGGGGUCAGGAAAGGAGCAGACUUGAGCGGAAGGACUGAAGCACUAAGACUUGGGAGGGGGCGAUGUCCGGCGGUGCUCCGGCGGCGGCGGUGCUUCUUGUGGACAACAAGCAAGCUUUAGCACAGCACGGAGGGGCAAGCGGCUGGGUGGAUUGGGAAGGGCGGCCGGGGAGCGGAGAGGAGAGUUCCGCAGGAACUUAGGCGGUAGCGCUUUGAGCACGAAGCAGAGGAACGGCGGUAGAGCGGUGAUGGCGAAGGGGACUCCGGUGGGACUCUGGCAUUCCCUUUUAUAGCUGCGCAGCAGAGAGAAAGGGUUGGAGCAGCGCGAAGACCGGGAAGAACGAUGGAGUGCGCUGCUGGGGCGGUGAUUGAGCAACGAGAGCGGUGGAGCAGGACUUCGGGGAUGACACCGGCGGCCACUGGGCACCGAUGACAGGGCGGAGCAGGCGUGGUUUUGCCGGUGGUUGAGAUUUGGCGGAGGCGGGCGUCGUCGUGCGGUGGAUCUGAUGGAAGUGACCGGGGGGAACGGCGCUAGAAGCGAGGUUGCUCAGGUGAGAGGUCAGGCGGGCCGUUGCUGCACGGGCGAGCGCGAAGCAACACUCCGUCGGAGCGCAGCGCUGACAAGGAAGGAAAGGAGUUGUCGCGGCCAGGGCCGGGGUUGGCGGAGGAGGAAUCGUCGCGUAGCGCGGACCUGGGCGGCGCGACUGUGGAAGGGCUACGGAAAAGACGGGAGACCUCGGGCCUUGCAGCCGGGAUCUGGCGAUGUGAUGAUGGGCGCGGGCGGCGAGAUGCUGCAGAAAGGGUAGCAGGGGAGCUUCCGCCGCGAUUGGGGAAGGGGGCGCGAGAAUCCAUCCGGUCGCGGGCCGAAGACGAGGCGGAGCGGCGGGCGUCGGAAGAGUUGAGCCACGCGGCUGGGGAAAACUGAAGCGGGCAUGCAACUCGAGUGCGCCUGUCGCGGAAGAUCUGGGGAAAAAAGAUCUAGUGGGCUCACCGGUCAGUCUCGGUGGUCCACUGCUCGAACUGAGGGGCGAUGCUGCGGGAUGGCUUAGGAAGAUCCGACGGUGGGUUGGGGGUCGGCGGGGUCGGAAUUGGGGAGACCACGGCGAGGGGUCGGAUCGCAGGGGUCGAAAGAGCUGGAGGUUGAACACUUAGGCUUGGAAAAACUAAGACAGGUGAUCAGGGGCUCGGAUUAAGAUUGACGCGAAGGAUUUUUGUCCGAGGCCGUCACAUUCGGCUUCUCAUAAAAUGGCUUCGGCUUCGGCUUCUUCGGUGGAGUGGCUUUUUUAGUGAAGCCGGUGAAGCCACUUUUUUCGACUUCUCCUCUCUAGUGUAAGCCGUUUUGCGGCUUCUCCCCGGCUUUGAUGGUGAAGCCGUUUUGAAAUUGACCUUUUGGUAGGGCUUCACCAAAAGCCGGUGGAGAAGCACUUUGAGAAGCCCUACCAAACGGGACCUAAUUUUGUAUAUUAAUAUCAUGGAAAUAGUGGGUCAAGUGCUGUCAAGUAUGAACCUGUUUAAAUCGUUAGCAAUUUUGAUUAUGGCAUGGGCCUGAGUUUGUAGAACUUCCUGACUCUAGUCUAGCUCAAAGUUUUUGGUCAUGUUUAACUUGGGAUUUUGUACUGUUUGGCUGGCCAUGUUAGCUUAUUACUUCACCUGGGAGUGCGUUAUUGGUGUGUUACUGUAUCUGAGUGCUACAUGCAGAUCUCUGUCUAGUGUGAUUUCUUUAUCUCAUAUCUUUGUAUUAUAGCCCUACCAUCUUAAUUGUACUGUAUCUUUAUGCUACAUGACAUGUUGUUUGCAAGGCUAAUUUCCCAUCAUUAUUCUUGUGCAGCCAAGCUGGCGCAGGCCAAAGGGUAUUGACUCCCGUGUCAGGAGGAAGUUCAAGGGAUGCACCUUGAUGCCGUACAGCUCUGACAAGUCGACCAGGCACUACCUCCCCAACAAAUUCAUCAAGAAGUUUGUGGUGCACAAUGUUGUUGGGAUACGAGGUAGGCUACACUAGCGCAAAUCACAAAUUUCUACCGCGUAAAUCAGGAAAACUGCUGUAUAAGGAUCACGGGAUUACCACUUGACGUACUACUGGUGCGGAAGAUAUAGAUUCGCGUCGAUGCAGCAAAGUCGAUCAGCGUAGUCAUACGUAGUUGAUCACGUCGACGUCCAGCAGCUCCUCAGUAGCUCGUCCACGUGCAGCAAGAUCGCCCUCGUGCCGUGGCUCGUCGUCAACUCGUCGUGGCUCGUCGGCGGCUCGUCGUGGCUCGUCGGCGGCUCGUCCAAGUGCUGCAGGCGCAACACCUCCAAGGUAUCCACACGUGCAGGGAGGAAGCGUCGUAAUCCGGACUGCUAGAUCCGUGAGUUGCAACAGGCGAGGGCGUGGGAGGCGCGGCAGAUGUGUUUCGCCAAAAAGGUGUAAACCCUAGGGCGCCCCCACCCCUCUAUUUAUAGAGGUUCCUAACGGGCCUCUGGGUCCGAGGCCCAUUAGUACUUCUAAACCUAAUCAAACUCGGAUCACAUCCGAAUUGGGCUUCCAGCCCCUUAAGUGUGUGACCCUAUGGGUUCGGAUACGUAUAGACAUGGCCCGAGUACUCCUACUCAGCCCAAUAGUCGGUAGCGACCUCUAGCAAGACGUGCCAAUUCCUAUACGCACACGAAGAUCAUAUCAGAUGAACCAUCACAACAUUAUAUACAUGCUAUUUCCUUUGCCUCACGAUAUUUGGUCUAGCUUCAAGCCGACCGCUCUUUCUCAAUCCUAUGAUUCGGAAUCCCUUUGUAGGUUAACUCUUAACCAUACGUAGCAUGGCCAUGCAUUUUCGGAUCCGAUCACUCGAGGGGCCCAGAGAUAUCACUCUCAAUCAGAGAGGGGCAAAUCUCAUCUUGAUUGACCAUGUCUCAUAGCAUGCUUCUUGACAAACCCGAAAGCUACCUUUAUAACUACCCUGUUACGGCAUAGCGUUUGAUAGCCCCUAAGUAGGUCAAUCCACAUCUUGAAUACAUGCGACAAUCUCAGGUCUAAGGACAAAACGUAUAUGUUGUUUGAAGAGAGAACUACUUCUCAGUUGGGUCAGUCCUAGCACAUGUCUUCACAUGUGUCCACAUUAUUAGUUCAACAUCUCCAUGUCCAUGACUUGUGAAACAUAGUCAUCAACUAAUACAUGUGCUAGUCUAAUAUUCAUGUGUGUCCUCAUAUGAACUCCGACUAGGAACAACUUCAGAAUAACCAUACAAGUAAAGAGUUUCACACACAAUUCACAUAAUUGCAAAUCAAUUCAAGUAACCUUUAAUGGAUAUUUAAGGAACAUAAUAUAUAAAUCAUGGAUACAAAUGGAAUAUCAUCAUCUCUAUGAUUGCCUCUAGGGUAUACCUCCAACAAAUGUCUCUGAGCUGGAGUUGCUCAUGAUGCACAACAGGUAUGAAUUUACCAAAGCUGACUGUAGAAGUUAACAUGUUCUCAUUCUGACCUGUUUUCCUGUGUGAUCAAAACCUGUUUGUAGUAACUUUUACUGAUGCAAUGCCCUUCCCUUGCUCACAUACAGGACCUACUGUGCUGAGAUUGCCCACAAUGUCUCAACAAAGAAGCGCAAGGAGAUUGUUGAGCGUGCUGCUCAGCUUGACAUCGUGGUCACCAACAAGCUCGCCAGGCUCCGCAGCCAGGAGGACGAGUAGGCUGCUUGCUCGUCAGGACGACUGUUGCUUGUCUUUCUCAGCUUUAGGAAACUACUCUGCUUUGUGUCGGUGUUACUACCGAGGAUACCUGUUAUGCCAACCCUUCUGCCUAUCAGGAGCGACUCUAGUGUGGGAAAUUCUACUGUUACCGUACCCCCAUCUGAAUUAUCUGCAUGUUAUUGGGAACUUAUCUUCCGCAUAGUUGCUGUGGAUAUACCUGUGAUGAUUCACAGUUUACGCGUUGAAUAUGCGAUGCACAGUUCAGUUGUGUGCGUUAAGCAUGAGAGGAAUUGGUAUAGAUCCACAAGCACGUCGCGGCACCGUGCCGCACAGCGCGACCAGAUGUUAGUGGUUCGUUGGCUCAGCUUGAGCCUUAAUGCACUGUGUGGUUCGUUGGCUUAGGCUAGAGUGUUCGGAAACUAAGAUGGGUAGCCUAAGAGCAUGGACGUUUCUACAUGUCAGGGAUCUCAUAGAUCAUCCCAUGCAAUGUUACAUAGAAAUUUUGAUGAUGCAAAGGAGAGAGAGUGAGGAGAGAGAAAUAGGUCAUUAUUUCACGAAAUAACCGCCUCAUGAGCUAAAUUUUAGACUAUGAAACAACUCAACAACCAUUGUACAAAUUGUUAUUGUCGUGCAACUCAUAAUAUUUCUUUUUUCAUAUGCACAAAUUAAGAAAUUAUAUAGCUCUACUAGAGAACUUAAAAGACAACCCAUUAUACAGGUUGUCUGGUGAAUCAUCUCAAGAUUACGUCUCGAUGCAUGAGACCGCCUCUUAAAUGAUACCAAUAUACUUGCCCUAAGAGCAUCUCCUUCCUAAAACGGCUAAAACUGCCUAAAAGUCUGUCAUACGAGCUGUACGAAUUGCCCUCUUCUCUCACGCAAGAGAGGCCAACCAUCGCAUUUGGAAAUUUCCGCCUCGUGCUAUUGCCACGCCACCCACACUAACUCUCUCCGUCUUUGAGUGCCACCCCAGCCCGCCCCGACCAGAUCUCACCGCAUUGCCGUCUAGGAGUCGAAAAAUCACCACUUCACGUAUGAACUUCAAAUUAGAUGAAUUUUUUUAAAAAUCAGUUGAAAUUUUCUUUUAUGCAUAUGUAUCUCCCUAGUUUAUCGGGGUGGACCAAAAUUAGAAUUGCCAAAUUCGCUUGGGAGGAUUGAGUAGUCAAGCUCCAAAGUUUCUGCAUGCUUUGUAAACAACGAGCUUGAUUUCUAGAGAUCACAACUGGUUGAGCUGAAAGUUUUUGUCAUUGUCCAUUAUGUGCUCCUAAGGACAAAAAAUAUAAAAAAAUAUCUGAAAAAAGUGUUCCAGAAAUACAAUGACAAGUGAAAAAGAGAAAAAAAAGAAAAAUAGGGGCACAUACUGAUGUCGGCAUGGCAAGGCCGCCGGCUGGAGCACCUCUCUGAACACAGAUCCGAGCGCAUGGGAAUCUAUCAGGUUGGGCUGGAGAUCGAUUUGCCGGUCUACGGCGCACUCACGCACAGCCCACAAACCGCUGCACUCACGCAUGGCCCACAAGCCGCUGCUCCUCGCGCACUUGAUGGAGUGGGUAACGCUAACGCAUCCAGACCGUCCAAUCGGUGCCCGAUCGCCUCUCCAUCCCUUCUAGAUGAAAACGAUCGGGAACCGUUGGGAAAACAUAACCACUUUCGUUACUGUAUUUUUUAGUCAGGAACAGGAGCGGGAAUGGAAAAGUCGGACGUUAAAACGAAAUCUAUAUUACGAGAUAUUGGGAAAGAAACAUUUCGAUUGGGAGCACGUCGAUAAAGAUCGGGAACCGAUAACUCUAAUCGGCACGCCAACACAUGUAACCACUUCAAACAUUUAGUUCGACAUAAUAGUUACAACCAUGCAUAUGGUAUAUGCAAACGAUACAUAAGCAAGGGGUGUUUGGAUACUAGGUACUAAACUUUAGCAGUGUCACAACAGAUAUUCGGAUGCUAAUUAGGAGGACUAAACAUGAGCUAAUUAUACAACUAAUUGCAGAACUUGUCCUAAUUCGCGAGACGAAUCUAUUAAGCCUAAUUAAUCCAUCAUCAGCAAAUGGUUACUAUAGCACCACAUUGUCAAAUCAUGGACUAAUUAGACUUAAUUGAUUCGUCUCGUGAAUUAGACUCCAUCUGUGUAAUUAGUUUUGUAAUUAGCCUAUAUUUAAUACUCCUAAUUAGCAUUCAAACAUCCGAUGUGACAGGUGCUAAACUUUAGCCGUGAGUAUCCAAACGGGCCUAAGGGGGUGUUUGGUUCCACGGACUAAAGUUCAGUCCCUAUCACAUCGAAUGUUUAGAUGCUAAUUAGGAGUAUUAAACAUAGAAUAAUUACAAAACCAAUUGCACAGAUGGAGGCUAAUUCGCGAGAUGAAUCUAGCCUAAUUAAUUCAUGAUUAGCACAUAUUUACUAUAGCAUCACAUUGUCAAAUCAUAGAGUAAUUAGGCUUAAUAAAUUCGUCUCGCGAAUUAGCAUCCAUAUGUGCAAUUGAUUUUAUAAUUAGCUCAUAUUUUGUCCUCCUAAUUAGUAUCUAAAUAUUCGAUGUGACAUUGAUUAAACUUUAGUCCGUGGAACCCACCACCCCAAUAAGUCUGUUAGCUGUUAGAUUAGCAAUGUGAGAAAAAACAACUGACGGUGCUGGCGCUGCUCCUAUACUAUGGGCCUACUCACGUUCUUUAUUUUCCCAUAUAGCCCGCUUACGAGAGAGAUAAGGCAAAUCUCCAUCUGUUCUCUAGGCACAAACACAGCAGCCUUAUCCUCUCCAUUGCUGCACAGGUGGGUAGCUGUAGCUGCGGGCGUGCGGGCAUACUAGAGAAGUGGCGAGAUGGGGCAGCCGCUGAGAAGGUGCGUCGGCCAGAGGGAGGAGGUGCGGUGUGUUGGUGAGAUGCAGCGGAGGGACAGGGGCCAUGCGGUGACCGGCGAUGGGAGCUCAGCGGCGCAAGACCUGCUCUCUCGUAGCGAGCCUGAGCGGCAUCGGGCGAGCACCAGAUGAAGUGCUUGGACGGCGUGGUCAACCUUUAGCAAGCUGGUGCGAGCAGCGGAUGGGGAUCCUUCUGCAGCUAGUCUGAGGAGCAAGGAGAUUGGGCGUGGGAGGCGGGAGUCAGUCGCAGAGGUUAGUCGGGAAAAAUCCGGUGAAAAAACUGGAAAUUCCCGAUAAAAAACGGAAACCGACAAUUUGGUGGGGGAAAACCUUCCAACCGAUUCCGAUCCCGAUUUCGUCAGAUUUUCUCGGAUUUUUUUCCUAUUUCGAAUUUUCCUGUAAAUACGGUAUUCGAUCGGUAUACACGGGAUGCGGUAUCGGUCGGUACGGGUAGGUUUCUACUUUCAUCCUAAUCCCUUCUGCGCUGGUCCGGUUAGGUUUCUCAAUCCUCGCAGAACGCAGAUUCCUCUUUGCCCCAGCGUCGCCUCUUGCGCUUCCCGAUCUAAUCCCCUUCCUCGCCAGUCGCCGCCGGCGCACCGCCCGCCCCCUCCUUCCUUCCCUCGCCCGCCGCCCACCCCCAACUCUAACCCCAAUCCCCAUGGAGGGUGGCGCAAGCGCAAGCCAUCCACCGGGUGAAGUGAGUGGCGGAAGCCAUCCUCCUGGUGAAGUGCUGUUGUCUCGCUCCGUCCAGUUCAAGGAUGAGAUGGUAGAGUUCAUCGAAGAACAAGGACUCCCGUCGCUGGAGAGCAUCAUGGAUGCAGCUCUCGAGGGCAUCCCGUCGUCGAAGAGGCAGACCGUGAUGCAGCGUGAGAUACUGCAUUAUCGGGAAACGGUGGAGAAGCAGGCAGAGGAUGCCCUUCGCGAGCGCAAACUCUGCUGUCCCAGUGCCACGAAGAAGGUCCCGGUGGUCUUCACCGGCGGCGAUGAUCCUGUCUUCUACGGUCAGGCGCUGCAGGGCAUUGAACCCCAUUUCAUCCAGGUUGCCCACCCCAACGAGGUGACCGCCCUGGCUCUUCGGGUGUCAUGGCCACGUUACUCUUCCUUCUACAGCUUCCCGCCUGGUGCCUUCAUCUCGAGCGCCGACCGAAACAUGCUCGUCCUAUAUGUUGGUCCUUACCGCCCCUGCCUCAGUCUACGGGGGUUUUAUCUCGCGUACGAUGUCUGGGCAAACUCAAUCGCCGUGAUCCCACAGCUGCCAUCCGGAUCCGUGUCCAUGUUCACCCACGUUGGCAUUGGGACUGGGGUCGCUAUCCAGAGCCGCGGCGAUCAGCCCGGAGAGUUCAUCCUCGCUGAGCUCCUGCUCAAAAAACAACGAGGCCGCCCCUCAAGCAAAGGCACCCUUUUCAAGUGGUUCUCAUCCGGCCCUGCCGCCGGUCAGUGGAUUCAGACUGAGGUGGUCCUCCCUCUGCCUACUAAGCCUGAAGAGCACGCGUCACGUUCCUCCUGUACCUUCUGCUCCGAUAUUGUCUCUGUGUUCGGAACAGCUGGGCUAUGCUGGGUUGACUUACUUCAGGGGAUAUUGAUAUGCAAUGAUGUGAGCUCUGCCCAUCCCCAGUUCCGUUUCGUUGGAUUGCCCAGAAAGCCUACCAUCAAACCUGGCAUUGAGGGCCGGGGGAUGCCGGCAGCACAUAGCUCCAUUUGCUAUGUCGAAGACACCCUCAGAUUCAUCACCAUUGACAACUAUGGCCACAGGGACCCCUUCUGUGCGACCCUCUCCAUCUGGGCCCUCCAGGACAUCCAGAUACCGGAGUGGGUGUUGUUUUACUCAUUUUCCUUUGGAAAUAUCCAGCUUGACCCAUUCUACAGAAGGAUGAUGCCCACUUUCCCUGUCCUUAGCAUGGCAAACGAACAUGUUAUCUAUGUUACUGUUGCUGCUGAUCUUACAUCGGUUCCAGGGAAGCUGGAAGAGUGUGUGCGGCAUGUGCUCUGCAUUGACAUGAUGCAUGGCUGUGUCGUGAGUGUUUCCAACCUCCCUCCAGGAAGUGGGCUUACUCCUCCCAACUUCCUAGCAUGUAUCUUCGGCAGCUGCCUUCACAAGGUAACUCUUAUUGACAUCUUAUCUUUUUUAUUGCGAAUGGAUAGUAACUAAUUGGUCACUACGAUUGUUCGCAUCUGAUUUAUUAGUGUCUCACUGACAUCUCAUCUUUUUACAUGUAGAGUCCUUGCAAUGAAAACCAAGAGUGUGAAGAAAAAAUAAGCAUGACGGAAGUUGAUGCUGUGCGCCUCAAACAACGUUCUUUCAGAUCAUUUGAGCCUCUGCAUGGGCAAUCUGCCACAGGUAGCAGGAACUUGAGAGGUUUGGCUUCCUUAGUGGAUGACUGUGCCUUCAGCGAGUGAGGAAGGAAAUCUUCUCCGUAAUUGCUACUAUCUGUUUGCAAACUUGCAAUACAGAAACUUUAGUACAAAUACUGUUGACUUGACCUCAAGAUGCACUUCUUUUUUGUCUGGUUUCUUUCUGGUGUUCCAGAUUCUGGUGUUUCCACUUAUGCCUGAAGUUUUAAGUUCUUUCUCAUCAGUUCCGUGGUCAGCAUCCUGAUCACAUAUGCAUCGAGAUAAUUUCCAGAAUGGCAUGUUGUUUGUAGCUCUUUGAUCAGUAUGCUGAGCACCUAGGUUCAUCGACACCCGUUCCCAUGUUUUCUGUUAAAAAUAGCAAACCAUUGGCAUCCAUUGUUGUCUUAUACAGCACAGUUUCUGAAUGGACACAAUGGCCACAUGCCAUUUCUGGAAACCAACAGAAAUGGUCAGGCAGAAUACAUUAGGUAGAAGACAACCUGAUGCUGUUGCUAAAUAUUAUAUCAGAGAAUUGUCACUUUUGUUCAUUCACGUAAAAUUAGAGAGUGAUGGAUCAAGGCAUAUAUAUAAUCAUGCCCUUACAUUAGCGCUAUAUACAACAAAUAAUUUACAUUUUUUGUCUGAACCUCAAGCAUCAUACCCUCCUAGCAGGAUCAAAAGGGGAAAGAAAAGCUGCCUGAUCAUGCUUACAACUGCUUUGCAUCCAGUUUCGUCAAAAGGGUGUUAAAUUGCUAUGUCAACGAGCAUGUUUCGUCUUGCUCGGUUGCUCUUACUUCCUAGUCAUCUGCAGAAAACAAUCUCCGAGCGACAUGCGGUCUCUUCCUCUUCUUCAGAGUGUCAUCUCCAGAGCAGCGAUCAGCCAAGUUCUCCUUCAUUGCUUCUUCUUUUGCAAACUCGUCUUCUUUCAGGUGCUCAGAAUCAGAACCCAGCUUAGAACGACCAGGAUAAGAUUGUGUGUUCUUUUAUUCGCCUCCACAAUAGCUACUUCUGUGAGGCAUUAGUUCCUCCUCUGGCUUCACCAUGUGUCAGUUGUCAAGAUUUGCGGAUCAAGACUUAGACUAGUAAAUUUCUUUUAUGCGCAUAAAGCUUUGAAUGGUGGCGUGGGAGACACGGGGUUAGACUGGUUCGGGCAAAGGAGGCCCUACGUCCAGUAUCGAGGCUGCUCGUGUUACCCACGCGGGGUUCUGUAGUAGGGGUUACAGAUGGGCAAGAGAGGGAACUGAUCCCAGGUCUCUUGUGUGUGCUAGUGCUCUAAGGGACUGUGAGAAUGUGCUGUUGGCUUGAGGAAAAGAGUCUCUUCCGUCCCGUGACCCCCGGUCCUCCUUUUAUAGCACAAGAAGGAGCCUGGGGUUACAGUUGAGACCGGCCUUAGGAGAGGAAACAGAAAGGAUAAGCCAGAAAGAAAAAUAGUACAAGGGAGGGCCCCGAGGCCGCCGCUCCCGCUUCGGCCCCCGGUCUCUGCCAGCGCGCCCGACGAGGGAAGGCGAUCUCCUCUUGAUCUUGUCGAUGAUCUCCCUGGUCGCCGUCGCCGUCGAGAGUGAUGAUGAGCCUCAACCUCGGCAUCCGUGCCCGCCGGGGAGGAGGUCUGACUCUGUUGCCCCGCCGGUUACCGUAAGACCCGAACGUCGCGUCCCUGACGCUACCAUUAGGAGCACAGGGCGCGAGGGCAAGCGAUGCGCCCUCCGGUGUCGUUCGGCGUGGCUCAUGAGUACCCUGUGGCGAAUCAGAAGGAGCCGCGGCCACUGCAACCCGCGCCGCACGGCCGUGCUCCGGUAUUCGUGACCGGUUACGUUGGGGACGCCGCUCCCUUGUGGCUUGACAGGGCCGCGGCGCAUUUAUGGCGAGGUUGAUAGGGGGACCCACGAGAUCGUUAUCCUUAUCCUCCGGUCCGCGCCCGAGGGGAAUAUCCGUCUCGUGGACCCGAGUGAGUCCAACCCCCGCGUCCAGGGUCGGACGAGGCGGAGUUUCUGUGAUGGGGGUCGGGAGCUCCCGACCCCGGUUCCCCGGGUCGGACGAGGCAGAGCCUUGCGGCGAGGGGCCGGGCGCUCCCGACCCUGGGUCCGCGGUCGGACGAGACGGAACCUUGCGGCGAGGGGUCGGGCGCUCCCGACCCUGGGACCGCGGUCGGGCGAGGCGGAGCCCCAUCAUCGAGGGGUCGGGAUUGUCCGACCCCGGGGCCCUGGGUCAGGUGAGACGGAGUGGGAUGUUCUCUGCUUCCACUGGGCCGGAUGUGAUCAUAAUUACCGCGGGUGGGCCUGGGCCUUCGUGACUGUCGCUUUUAGUGGUUUUGGGAGGUCGUUAAUAUUUCCCCCAACACAUGUGUUUCUUUAUCUGUGAGUGUGUAGAACAUGGCAAUACAUCAACAGCAUUCGAUGGAAUAAAAAAUACAGGAAGCCGAAUUAAAUGGAUGGGAGAUAACGGAUGACUAGUAUUACACAAACAUUUCAGUGAGAGCUGUUGAUAUAAUCCUUUUCUAACCAUGCAAAUCCUCGCUCAGUUUAGAACCAAACAAGGUAUAACACAAGCAGUCAUUUGGAAGCAUUUCGUUCGAGCAUUACAGUACACGGCAUCCACAUCAAUUUCGUGAUCUUGCUUCGCCAGCUGGCCACCUUCCGCUGGCUCUGUUGCAUUUCCCCCCGAGCAAUUUGAAAUGUCAUGUUGGAUCUAGUUCAGAGGAUUACACUUCCUCUGGCCGUCCGAUCAUUAAUCCAACAAAAAGAGAUAUAUCUUGCAGUUAGAUAUACGGUUUAGGAUCAUUUUAGAGUACCGUAGUAAAAUUUAAAAAAAGAAGAACAUAGAGCUUUUUUAAAUAAAAGAAAAGAAAAGAAAUGUAAAAGCUUUACCCGGAGAAAAAUCUGUGUGAGCUGCUGCAGUUCCAGUUCCAGUUGCAAUUACCAAGCAGCUCACCGAGCCAGAUCCAGCUAACUUGUGUGUGAUUGUGUCCCGAUCGGCCGGUUUAAAUGCUAGCAGUCUAGCAAUUACUUGUGUGAUUUGUGAUUGUGACUUGUGAGGGUAGGUAGAUUAGUUCAAUCCAGGUUUAAGCGCUAGCAGUCUAGCACAUCACGAAAAGGGGUAGUAAAUGGAAUGAGAGUUGCACAUCGCAACAUGGCGGUGCCCGUAUUCAGUUCUUUAGUACAAACUGAAAAUGGAUUAAUCGGAACGGAACUGUUUUCGUCUUCGUCCUGCCUCCACCCCCAGGAAUAUAUCCUAUGCAAAAUGCUAUGCAAAAUGCUUCAAGCGAGCCGUUGUACACUUGGGUCAUGUUUAGUUCCCUCCAAACUCCCAACUUUAACACUAUGUAAAAAGAAGAUUCCCCAUCACAUCAAACUUGCGGUACAUGAAUGGAGUACUAAAUGUAGACGAAAUAAAAAACUAAUUGCAUAGUUUUGUUGUACUUUGCAGGAUGAAUCUUUUGAGCCUAAUUAGUUAAUAUUUGGACAAUAACUUACAAAUACAAACGAAACGCUACAGUUGCGCAUUUAUGGUAAAAUGCCAAUUUUACCGCUCCCAAAUUGAGAACUAAACAAGACCUUGUACUCGAUCGGCGGGCCUUUACGUUGUACACUUGUGCCUCAACAUGCUCUCGUCUCGCACCCCAUGCUCUCCCUCCCUGCUCCAUGUGGGCCCUCGGGGGAAAUAGAUGGACAGCUGAGUGCCUGAGUGGACGUGUGCUUCUCGUUACCUCUAUGUCACAUAAGAUGCACACAUUUUAGCACACUAAAAUUACUUAAAAUUAUUCCAUAACGGUGAUGCACAUAUAUGAAAGAUCACGUUAGACUACCUGAAAAAAAAACA